This 579-nucleotide ribosomal RNA is filed under the name Helicotylenchus sp. VII-3. RNAcentral describes it as "eukaryotic LSU rRNA". The stretch from base 402 to 579 matches the Rfam family "Eukaryotic large subunit ribosomal RNA", at positions 665 to 813 of the family's 3401-position model. Lineage: Eukaryota; Metazoa; Nematoda; Chromadorea; Rhabditida; Hoplolaimidae. The record is from RNAcentral.
CCGAUGAGGUGGAAACGGACAGAGCUGGCGUAUCUGGCCUGUGUUCAGCCGUGGGCUCGUUGGCGCCGGGGAUGCCGCUCUCCAGAUUGGGACGGUGGCCUGGCUGCUGGCGGGUUCGCGUUGCAUUGGCAGGUGGAGUGCGCUGAGGCGCUCGGUGCAGCGGCAUGAGCUCGGCUUUGAGGCCAGCCCCGCAAGGGGUCUGGUACCCGGGUCGGGGGAGUGCUGUUUGUGCUGGGUGUUUGCAAUGGGCGAUGGUUUCGGGCCCGGGUGGGUGCCGAGCCGGCAGUCGGUGGCGGUCGCAUGCGACACGUGCCAGCGGUCGGUUCGGUCCUGUUCGAGCUCUCUUCUGCCCGACCUCGGUGUAAAAGCCGGUCAUCUGUCCGACCCGUCUUGAAACACGGACCAAGGAGUUUAGCGUGUGCGCGAGUCAUUGGGCGUUCAAAACCCAAAGGCGUAAUGAAAGUGAAGGUCUGCCUUGUGCAGCUGAUGUGUGAUCCUGGCCACUGCGGUGCGUCCGGGCGCAACAUAGUCCCGUCCCGAUCGCUUGCGAUGGGGCGGAGACAGAGCGUACGCGCUGAG